This is a long non-coding RNA of Myotis myotis, 1708 nucleotides long. RefSeq lists it as uncharacterized. The transcript is spliced from 2 exons. The record is from RefSeq and is a predicted model, not a curated record. Lineage: Eukaryota; Metazoa; Chordata; Mammalia; Chiroptera; Vespertilionidae.
GGAAGGGAGAGGAAGAGAAAGAUAGAAACAUCAGUGAUGAGAGAGAAUCAUUGAUUGGCUGCCUCCUGCAUGACCCGCACUGAGGAUCAAGCCUGCAACCUGGGAAUCGACCAAUGACCUGUCAAUGCUCACCAAGCCACACUGGCCAGGUCUUUCCCCUGCCCAGCUUUCUUGAGGCUCUUAAAGAUCCUUCCAGAUCAGUGCAAAGAUCUACCUCUUUCUCAUUGAACAGCUGGGAACAUUCUGUAUUCCAUUGCAUUUGGGACACCCUACAAGGCAUUUCACUGUCUCCUGCUGGAGUUCCUAUUCUCUGUUUCAAACAACACUGUGAUGAUUAUCCUUGUACAUUCAGUUUUCACCCUGUUGGGAAGGUGCUAUUUCAGUUUUGAUAGGCACUGCUAGCGUGUCCCCUGCAGAUGGUGACUUUUAUAAUAGUAAGCUCCCUCUUUAAUCUAUGAGCAGGCAGUCAUCGGUGGUGCCAGCUUACUAGAAGUUUGCAUUUGAUGAACCCAAGGUGAGAAGUUUCUUUUUCCCAGAGAGCAAUUGCGCCUGUACUAUUUCAUGUAGCAAAGUGGCUUACAGCCCAGAUGUUGGAGACAGACUGCCUGGGUUCGAAUCCCAGCUCUAACGUGCUCAUACUGCAUAUGACCUUGGGCAAAGUGACUUAACUGUCUGUCAGAUAAAAAGACUAAUCCCAUCUACGUCAUAAAGUUACUGCAGGGUUUCUCAAUCACCCUCAGCACUGCUGAUAUGUAGGGCUGGACGGUUCUCUGUUUGAGGGAGUGGGCAGUCCUGUGCACUGAAGCAUCCCUAACCUCUACCUACAAGAUGCCAGUGGCCUUUCCCUUUCAAUUGUGACAACCAUAAAUGUCUCUAGACACUGCCGAAUGGUCCCCUGGAGAUGGGAGGAGGCAAAAUUCUCCCCUCCCAUUGAGCAUCAGUGGGUUACUGUGAAGAUUAUAUGCAUGAGUUAUUAUGUAAAAGGCACUUAGAACAGAGCUGGUACAUAAUAAAUGCUAUAUAAAGGCCUGCAGUUAUUAUCAGCAUUAUCUCUCCUGAGCCCUAAGGCUUACCUUACAGAAAAUAAAUAGUUUUGAUAAUAUGGGGGCUUGAGCAAGACAAGGGAGCAUUAUUAAGCCUAUAUCUGAUUCCACUCCGGAACAAGAAUCCAAGUCCCUAUUCUAAGAUCAUAGGUCAGCAAUGUCAGUAUUAAUUAUAGUCUGAUCCCUCCGGGGUUCCAUUGUGGGGCUCCCGGUAUCCUGUAGCACAUUUAACAAGAUCCCAUGCUAAUGGCCAGUUCAGCUGUCACGGGUGCUGCACACAUCCGUUCCACAUCCCUUCCCGAGUUCUCCAAAUGGUGCAUACUUCACAUCUCUGGCUUUCCAUGGAUCUAUGGCCCCUUGAAACAACUGGCUGCCCACAACAGUCACCCCAAAAAGGGGGCCAAUGAAAACAAAAAGGGAGAAUAAGGAAGAACAAAAAGACUGAGUUUCUUUAAAUUUCUGGCUCUCUGCAGCACAAGCAUUUCCAAUGAAAAAUAAAGAAUUCUUUCUUCUGUAUCUAUUUCAGCUGGCAUCCCGCUUUUGCCUUGUGAAUAGUGUCACCACAUCAUUAUUCUGUCCCUCAAGGUAAAACAAAAUGGGCAACUUAACCACCAGAAGUGUGCUUGUGUGGAGGAAGGGGCUCAUUUAAAAGCUUUUUCAAGUAA